Molecule: non-coding RNA, 797 nt
Organism: Ictidomys tridecemlineatus (thirteen-lined ground squirrel)
Lineage: Eukaryota; Metazoa; Chordata; Mammalia; Rodentia; Sciuridae
Source: RefSeq, a predicted model, not a curated record
AGUUCUCAAGCUAUGCUCCUGAAUUUAUUUCAUAAGCUCUCACAAGCUGGACUUGGAGGCUCCAUGGUAAAAAAUUUAAAAACUGCCGUUGUUACCAACUUCAUAUGAAGAUCCUCCAGGCCUCUCAGCUUCCAUGGAAUCUCACCAAGUUACUGAGGAUCUCACCAAGUUUCUCAGACUAGCCUCAAAAUUGCAAUCCUCGUACCUCAGCCUCCAGAUUCCUGAGACUAGAGGAGUACACCACCAUGUCUGACUACAUGUUUCUAUUUUCAAGCACCCCCGUGGCUAGCAGAGAAUGACUCUCGUUCCCUCCUCCCCGAGCCCGUCUCUCUCCCCAGACCUAUAGUACAACCAGCACUGGACCCAAUGUUCCAGGCCUGAAAAGAGGCUCCCUGCUGCCGAUCAUCCUGCAAAGCUGGUCAAGGCUACGGCAUCUGCUCACUGGAUCUGGUCAGCGCUAGCUGCCAGGAGAUGAUGCCACCCCAGGCUCGAGUCCCCCUGUGGCAGGAGUCUGCUCCACCCACACUGUCACCUCAACUGAGCGCAUCCUGCUCCAUGGUCUCAACAACACACUAGGUACGGGUAGUAUUAGCCAAGGCCUCUGGAAUUGCCUCCUGGACCUUCCACCUAAAUAUCCAGCAACAACCUCAAACUCAGCAUGUUCCAGACCGCCCUUGUCAUCUCCUGGUGCUACCCGGCUCUCCAUCCCAUAAUUUAUUUUUUAUUUUUAAUCGAGGCACAGUGAUUGUACAUAUUCCUGGGUACCAUGUGAUCUGAGUAAAUAGUGAUCAGAUCAG